AAUAUGUAAUCAUGUUUGCGAACGGGGGACAAGUGUCUGCGUCGUUGAUAUCUGUCGCUGAGACUCGCUUUGUCCGCACCUGAGGGCGAUCACAAACUUUGCCUAAUCGUGAUUGCGCGCGUUCUGGAUCCUGCGUCGGUGCGUCGACAAUUUGCCUUAUGCUCCGGCUCAGUUCGAUAACGCUGAGGCCGUUAUCGAAGGCGGCAAUAUCUCUGUUCUUCUUGUGGUGAAUGGCUCUGUGGAAAGCGUCGCCUUGUAAACUCGGCACAGAGGUCUUAGCGAUUGAAUAACGGUUCGGGUUCCGGCAUAUCGGUUCGAGUUCAGCUCCGCAACAGCGCAAAAUAUCGGUUGAAACCGGUUCAGUGAGCAGUGAAACCAAGAUGGCGUCCAAACUGACUGCUGCAGCCACAGCGACCGAAGCGCCAUCGGAUUCGCGCUCCCACCAAGGCUCAAAUCCGUCUUUCAUGGCGGGAACCCAAGAAGAAGGGAUUUCCCCCUCCCCCUAGGGGGCAUCCCCAGGAUUUUUUUGCACCACCUCCGUGAAAUUUCCAAGCAUGCCUACAGCUCGGGUACUAAUGCACACACACACACACACACACACACAAACACAAAAGAAGUCCAUGAACACAAACUCCCUCCCCAUUGGAAGCUCAGUAGCCCUCAGAGCGGUUACGUCCCAUUUCGCCUAAUGGGAUUUUUAGGCUUACGAGGCCGAGAUGCUGCCGUUUAGCGAAAUGGGACUGCCAACAAAAGUGAGCAAUACUAUCACUGAUUGACGUCAGCAGGGAAUGGCUCCGCCCCUGUGUGCGGUCUGUACACAGUUGUAACCAAGCGAAAAAAGCAGGCUCUUCAGAAGGACCGAGUGACGCAUCAGUCCCAGACCCGCGGCGCCUGUGACUCGACAGUCUUCUUUGAACAGCGCAUGAGGACUUACUGUCUUUUUCCACUAAGCCUUCUGAAACAAUUUCCGACUCAGCACUUGAAAUGAAAAUGUGGAAAUAUCACUUGUCUUCCCAGUGGCGCCAAGCUGUGUUUGCCCUUUCGCACAACUCGGCGAAGGUUUUUCUGAGACCACGGGAGAAUAAAGUUGCCUUAAACUGGA
Molecule: long non-coding RNA, 1102 nt
Organism: Ornithodoros turicata
Lineage: Eukaryota; Metazoa; Arthropoda; Arachnida; Ixodida; Argasidae
Exons: 3
Source: RefSeq, a predicted model, not a curated record